This 301-nucleotide ribosomal RNA is filed under the name uncultured bacterium. Its description in RNAcentral is "partial 16S ribosomal RNA". It matches the Rfam family "Bacterial small subunit ribosomal RNA", at positions 509 to 809 of the family's 1533-position model. The record is from RNAcentral.
CAGUAGCCACGGUAAUACGUAGGUGGCAAGCGUUGUCCGGAAUUAUUGGGCGUAAAGGGCUCGCAGGCGGUUCCUUAAGUCUGAUGUGAAAGCCCCCGGCUCAACCGGGGAGGGUCAUUGGAAACUGGGAAACUUGAGUGCAGAAGAGGAGAGUGGAAUUCCACGUGUAGCGGUGAAAUGCGUAGAGAUGUGGAGGAACACCAGUGGCGAAGGCGACUCUCUGGCCUGUAACUGACGCUGAGGAGCGAAAGCGUGGGGAGCGAACAGGAUUAGAUACCCCUGUAGUCCCUGUCUCUUAUAA